AUUGAACGCUGGCGGCAUGCCUAACACAUGCAAGUCGAACGGCAGCACGGUUGAGUACUUGUACUUAAUGGGUGGCGAGUGGCGAACGGGUGAGUAAUGCGCAGGAAUAUGCCUUAAAGAGGGGGAUAACUUGGGGAAACUCAAGCUAAUACCGCAUAAGCUCUGAGGAGUAAAGCUGGGGACCUUCGGGCCUGGCGCUUUAAGAAUAGCCUGCGUCCGAUUAGCUAGUUGGUAGGGUAAAGGCCUACCAAGGCGACGAUCGGUAGCUGGUCUGAGAGGAGGAACAGCCACACUGGGACUGAGACACGGCCCAGACUCCUACGAGAGGCAGCAGUGGGGAAUAUUGGACAAUGGGGGCAACCCUGAUCCAGCAAUGCCGCGUGUGUGAAGAAGGCCUGAGGGUUGUAAAGCACUUUCAGUGGGGAGGAGGAUUGAUUGGUUAAGAGCUGAUUAAUUGGACGUUACCUACAGAAGAAGCACCGGCUAACUCCGUGCCAGCCGCCGCAGUAA
This 510-nucleotide ribosomal RNA is filed under the name uncultured bacterium. RNAcentral describes it as "partial 16S ribosomal RNA". It matches the Rfam family "Bacterial small subunit ribosomal RNA", at positions 30 to 523 of the family's 1533-position model. The record is from RNAcentral.